Long non-coding RNA from Cervus elaphus (red deer), 300 nucleotides. RefSeq lists it as uncharacterized. The transcript is spliced from 2 exons. The record is from RefSeq and is a predicted model, not a curated record. Lineage: Eukaryota; Metazoa; Chordata; Mammalia; Artiodactyla; Cervidae.
GACAAGUCUAGGGGCAGGGCGAGCCUCACCUCCACGGGGAAGGACAGACAGACAGACAGGUCUAGGGGCAGGGCGAGCCUCACCUCCAAAGAGGACAGAUAGACAGGUCUAGGGGCAGGGUGAGCCUCACCUCCAGAGAGGACAGACAGACAGGUCUAGGGGCAGGGUGAGCCUCACCUCCACGGGGAAGGACAGAGAGACGGACAGGUCUAGGGGCAGGGCGAGUCUCACCUCCACGGGGAAGGACAGACGGACGGACAGGUCUAGGGGCAGGGCAAGCCUCACCUCCAGGAAGGACAA